Molecule: non-coding RNA, 24 nt
Filed under: Arabidopsis thaliana (thale cress)
Lineage: Eukaryota; Viridiplantae; Streptophyta; Magnoliopsida; Brassicales; Brassicaceae
Source: RNAcentral
UGCUUUAAUGUGUGUCUUUCCUUG